This 466-nucleotide ribosomal RNA is filed under the name uncultured bacterium. RNAcentral describes it as "partial 16S ribosomal RNA". It matches the Rfam family "Bacterial small subunit ribosomal RNA", at positions 28 to 507 of the family's 1533-position model. The record is from RNAcentral.
GAUGAACGCUGGCGGCGUGCUUAACACAUGCAAGUCGAACGAUGAAGCCCAGCUUGCUGGGUGGAUUAGUGGCGAACGGGUGAGUAACACGUGAGUAACCUGCCCUUAACUCUGGGAUAAGCCUGGGAAACUGGGUCUAAUACCGGAUAGGAGCGUCCACCGCAUGGUGGGUGUUGGAAAGAUUUAUCGGUUUUGGAUGGACUCGCGGCCUAUCAGCUUGUUGGUGAGGUAAUGGCUCACCAAGGCGACGACGGGUAGCCGGCCUGAGAGGGUGACCGGCCACACUGGGACUGAGACACGGCCCAGACUCCUACGGGAGGCAGCAGUGGGGAAUAUUGCACAAUGGGCGCAAGCCUGAUGCAGCGACGCCGCGUGAGGGAUGACGGCCUUCGGGUUGUAAACCUCCUUCAGUAGGGAAGAAGCGAAAGUGACGGUACCUGCAGAAGAAGCACCGGCUAACUACGUG